GGCAGCUUGGCUGAGUGGUUAUAGCGACAGACUUGAAUUACUCAAUUCAGUUAUCUGUUGGGUUCGCCCGCACAGGUUCGAAUCCUGUAGCUGUCG
Parathielavia hyrcaniae is the source of this 96-nucleotide non-coding RNA. NCBI's taxonomy places the organism in Eukaryota, Fungi, Ascomycota, Sordariomycetes, Sordariales, Chaetomiaceae. The record is from the annotation of a GenBank genome assembly.